UACGAAGGGGGCUAGCGUUGCUCGGAAUCACUGGGCGUAAAGCGCACGUAGGCGGCUUUCUAAGUCAGGGGUGAAAUCCUGGAGCUCAACUCCAGAACUGCCUUUGAUACUGGAGAGCUUGAGUCCGGGAGAGGUGAGUGGAACUCCGAGUGUAGAGGUGAAAUUCGUAGAUAUUCGGAAGAACACCAGUGGCGAAGGCGGCUCACUGGCCCGGUACUGACGCUGAUGUGCGAAAGCCAGGGGAGCGAACGGG
RNAcentral lists this ribosomal RNA (253 nucleotides) under uncultured bacterium. RNAcentral's name for it is "partial 16S ribosomal RNA". It matches the Rfam family "Bacterial small subunit ribosomal RNA", at positions 524 to 776 of the family's 1533-position model. The record is from RNAcentral.